GGAGGGGUUCCCGAGCGGUCAAAGGGAUCAGACUGUAAAUCUGACGGCUCAGCCUUCGCAGGUUCGAAUCCUGCUCCCUCCA
RNAcentral lists this transfer RNA (82 nucleotides) under Gammaproteobacteria bacterium. RNAcentral's name for it is "tRNA-Tyr". It matches the Rfam family "tRNA". From Rfam's summary of the family: Transfer RNA (tRNA) molecules are approximately 80 nucleotides in length. Their secondary structure includes four short double-helical elements and three loops (D, anti-codon, and T loops). Further hydrogen bonds mediate the characteristic L-shaped molecular structure. tRNAs have two regions of fundamental functional importance: the anti-codon, which is responsible for specific mRNA codon recognition, and the 3' end, to which the tRNAs corresponding amino acid is attached (by aminoacyl-tRNA synthetases). tRNAs cope with the degeneracy of the genetic code in two manners: having more than one tRNA (with a specific anti-codon) for a particular amino acid; and 'wobble' base-pairing, i.e. permitting non-standard base-pairing at the 3rd anti-codon position. The record is from RNAcentral. Lineage: Bacteria; Pseudomonadati; Pseudomonadota; Gammaproteobacteria.